GCCGGGAUAGCUCAGCUGGGAGAGCAACAGACUGAAGCCGUUCGCCUUGAACUGAUUUCUGGAGGUCCCGUGUUCAAUCCACGGUCCUGGCA
This is a non-coding RNA of Dentipellis sp. KUC8613, 92 nucleotides long. NCBI's taxonomy places the organism in Eukaryota, Fungi, Basidiomycota, Agaricomycetes, Russulales, Hericiaceae. The record is from the annotation of a GenBank genome assembly.